UACGUAGGGGGCGAGCGUUGUCCGGAGUUACUGGGCGUAAAGCGCACGCAGGCGGUCUGCUAAGUUUGGUGUGACAGUUGGUGGCUUAACUGCCAAAGUGCGUCGAAAACUGACAGACUUGAGGGCUUGAGAGGGACACGGAAUUCCGGGUGGAGUGGUGAAAUGCGUAGAGAUCCGGAGGAACACCAAAGGCGAAGGCAGUGUCCUGGGGAGUACCUGACGCUCAGGUGCGAAAGCCAGGGGAGCGAACGGG
This 253-nucleotide ribosomal RNA is filed under the name uncultured bacterium. RNAcentral describes it as "partial 16S ribosomal RNA". It matches the Rfam family "Bacterial small subunit ribosomal RNA", at positions 524 to 776 of the family's 1533-position model. The record is from RNAcentral.